UACAGAGGCCUCGAGCGUUAGGCGGAAUCACUGGGCUUAAAGCGUGUGUAGGCGGACUUCUAAGUACCUUGUGAAAUCCCACGGCUCACCCGUGGAAUUGCUCGGUAUACUGGUCGUCUUGAGCCUUCUAGGGGCGAGUGGAACAAGUGGUGGAGCGGUGAAAUGCGUAGAUAUCACUUGGAACGCCAAUGGUGAAGACAGCUCGCUGGGGGUGUCCUGACGCUGAGGCGCGAAAGCCAGGGGAGCGAACGGG
RNAcentral lists this ribosomal RNA (253 nucleotides) under uncultured bacterium. RNAcentral describes it as "partial 16S ribosomal RNA". It matches the Rfam family "Bacterial small subunit ribosomal RNA", at positions 524 to 776 of the family's 1533-position model. The record is from RNAcentral.